GUUAAUUAAAUAGAUUCGCCGUAGACAGUAGGAACCGAUAAGGUUUAAAUAUUCCUACCGAGGUGAGGCAGUGAACUCUAAUAUGUUAAUUUAUAAAAUUAAUUAUAGAGAAAAGGUCUCUCCAAGUCUACGGAGAGACCUUUAUUUGCGUGUUC
Sporanaerobacter acetigenes DSM 13106 is the source of this 155-nucleotide regulatory RNA element. It matches the Rfam family "Ribosomal protein L10 leader". Rfam says of the family: This family is a putative r-protein leader autoregulatory structure found in B. subtilis and other low-GC Gram-positive bacteria. It is located in the 5' untranslated regions of mRNAs encoding ribosomal proteins L10 and L12 (rplJ-rplL). A Rho-independent transcription terminator structure that is probably involved in regulation is included at the 3' end. The record is from Rfam. Lineage: Bacteria; Bacillati; Bacillota; Tissierellia; Tissierellales; Sporanaerobacteraceae.